UUUUUUUACAUUUUAAUAUGUAUUUAAAUGAGUAGUUAUUGUUGCAAACUCCAUUAGAAAUUUGAAUUGAGAUCAGUUUUGGAAUAAGGGAAAGGGGCAUGUGAAAAAAAAAUUGGGGAGGAGGGGUUAAAUUUUUCUCAUUUCAGAUUUCAUAAAUAAAAAGAAAAAUUCUUCUAACAUUUUUUUGACAGGAUUAAUAUUCAACAGCAUAGUGAAUUGCUCAAAGGCAAAAAAAAAAAAAUUGUCAUUAGUUCAUUAGACCACAUUCAUUCUGUGUCAGAAACCUAUGUUGUGUCAACUAUUUAAUCACAAUCCAAAUUUAGAGCU
This 327-nucleotide long non-coding RNA is filed under the name Mytilus galloprovincialis (Mediterranean mussel). Lineage: Eukaryota; Metazoa; Mollusca; Bivalvia; Mytilida; Mytilidae. The record is from RNAcentral.